RNAcentral lists this ribosomal RNA (253 nucleotides) under uncultured bacterium. RNAcentral's name for it is "partial 16S ribosomal RNA". It matches the Rfam family "Bacterial small subunit ribosomal RNA", at positions 524 to 776 of the family's 1533-position model. The record is from RNAcentral.
UACGGAGGGUGCAAGCGUUAUCCGGAUUCACUGGGUUUAAAGGGUGCGUAGGUGGGCAGGUAAGUCAGUGGUGAAAUCUCCGGGCUUAACCCGGAAACUGCCGUUGAUACUAUCUGUCUUGAAUAUCGUGGAGGUGAGCGGAAUAUGUCAUGUAGCGGUGAAAUGCUUAGAUAUGACAUAGAACAUCAAUUGCGGAGGCAGCUCGCUACACGGUUAUUGACACUGAGGCACGAAAGCGUGGGGAUCAAACAGG